RNAcentral lists this transfer RNA (66 nucleotides) under Hackeriella veitchi. RNAcentral describes it as "tRNA-Ile". The record is from RNAcentral. Lineage: Eukaryota; Metazoa; Arthropoda; Insecta; Hemiptera; Peloridiidae.
AAUAGAAUGCCUGAAAAAGGAUUAUCCUGAUAGGAUAAAUAAUAUAGGUAACAUCUAUUUCUAUUA